UAACUCGAUCAUAUCAGCACUAGAACAUCAGAUCUCCUCAGAACGUCGAAGUUAAGCGUAUUUGGGUAAAAGUAAUACUAAGAUGUGUGAUUUCCUGAGAAGUCUUUGUGUUGUAUCCC
This 119-nucleotide ribosomal RNA is filed under the name Solanum tuberosum (potato). Lineage: Eukaryota; Viridiplantae; Streptophyta; Magnoliopsida; Solanales; Solanaceae. The record is from RNAcentral.